RNAcentral lists this ribosomal RNA (654 nucleotides) under uncultured bacterium. RNAcentral's name for it is "bacterial SSU rRNA". It matches the Rfam family "Bacterial small subunit ribosomal RNA", at positions 88 to 753 of the family's 1533-position model. The record is from RNAcentral.
GGUGAGAGUGGCGAACGGGUGAGUAAUGCGUGACCAACCUGCCCCAUGCUCCAGAAUAGCUCUUGGAAACGGGUGGUAAUGCUGGAUGCUCCAACUUGACGCAUGUCUUGUUGGGAAAGUGUUUAGUGGCAUGGGAUGGGGUCGCGUCCUAUCAGCUUGUAGGCGGGGUAAUGGCCCACCUAGGCUUCGACGGGUAGCCGGCCUGAGAGGGCGGACGGCCACAUUGGGACUGAGAUACGGCCCAGACUCCUACGGGAGGCAGCAGUGGGGAAUAUUGCGCAAUGGGGGGAACCCUGACGCAGCGACGCCGCGUGCGGGAUGAAGGCCUUCGGGUUGUAAACCGCUUUUGAUUGGGAGCAAGCCUUUUGGGUGAGUGUACCUUUCGAAUAAGCGCCGGCUAACUACGUGCCAGCAGCCGCGGUAAUACGUAGGGCGCAAGCGUUAUCCGGAAUUAUUGGGCGUAAAGAGCUUGUAGGCGGUUCGUCGCGUCUGGUGUGAAAGCCCAUCGCUUAACGGUGGGUUUGCGCCGGGUACGGGCGGGCUAGAGUGCAGUAGGGGAGACUGGAAUUCUCGGUGUAACGGUGGAAUGUGUAGAUAUCGGGAAGAACACCAAUGGCGAAGGCAGGUCUCUGGGCUGUUACUGACGCUGAGAAG